GACGAACGCUGGCUGCGUGCUUAACACAUGCAAGUCGAACGAUGAAGCGGUGCUUGCACCGUGGAUUAGUGGCGAACGGGUGAGUAAUACGUGAGUGACCUACCUUUGACUCUGGGAUAAGCCUGGGAAACUGGGUCUAAUACCGGAUACGACCAAUCUCUGCAUGGGGUGUUGGUGGAAAGCGUUAUGGAGUGGUUUUAGAUGGGCUCACGGCCUAUCAGCUUGUUGGUGAGGUAAUGGCUUACCAAGGCGACGACGGGUAGCCGGCCUGAGAGGGUGACCGGCCACACUGGGACUGAGACACGGCCCAGACUCCUACGGGAGGCAGCAGUGGGGAAUAUUGCACAAUGGGCGCAAGCCUGAUGCAGCGACGCCGCGUGAGGGAUGACGGCCUUCGGGUUGUAAACCUCUGUUAGCAUCGAAGAAGCGAAAGUGACGGUAGGUGCAGAGAAAGCGCCGGCUAACUACGUGCCAGCAGCCGCGGUAAUACGUAGGGCGCGAGCGUUGUCCGGAAUUAUUGGGCGUAAAGAGCUUGUAGGGCGGUUGGUCGCGUCUGCUGUGAAAGGCCGGGGCUUAACUCCGGUUUUGCAGUGGGUACGGGCUAACUAGAGUGCAGUAGGGGAGACUGGAAUUCCUGGUGUAGCGGUGGAAUGCACAGAUAUCAGGAGGAACACCGAUGGCGAAGGCAGGUCUCUGGGCUGUAAUUGACGCUGAGAAGCGAAAGCAUGGGGAGCGAACAGGAUUAGAUACCCUGGUAGUCCAUGCCGUAAACGUUGGGCACUAGGUGUGGGGGACAUUCCACGUUUUCCGCGCCGUAGCUAACGCAUUAAGUGCCCCGCCUGGGGAGUACGGCCGCAAGGCUAAAACUCAAAGGAAUUGACGGGGGCCCGCACAAGCGGCGGAGCAUGCGGAUUAAUUCGAUGCAACGCGAAGAACCUUACCAAGGCUUGACAUGCAUUAGAUCGCGUCAGAGAUGGCGUUUCCCUUCGGGGCUGGUGUACAGGUGGUGCAUGGUUGUCGUCAGCUCGUGUCGUGAGAUGUUGGGUUAAGUCCCGCAACGAGCGCAACCCUCGUUCUAUGUUGCCAGCGGUUCGGCCGGGGACUCAUAGGAGACUGCCGGGGUCAACUCGGAGGAAGGUGGGGAUGACGUCAAAUCAUCAUGCCCCUUAUGUCUUGGGCUUCACGCAUGCUACAAUGGCCGGUACAGAGGGUUGCGAUACUGUGAGGUGGAGCUAAUCCCUUAAAGCCGGUCUCAGUUCGGAUUGGGGUCUGCAACUCGACCCCAUGAAGUCGGAGUCGCUAGUAAUCGCAGAUCAGCAACGCUGCGGUGAAUACGUUCCCGGGCCU
This 1347-nucleotide ribosomal RNA is filed under the name uncultured bacterium. Its description in RNAcentral is "bacterial SSU rRNA". It matches the Rfam family "Bacterial small subunit ribosomal RNA", at positions 28 to 1381 of the family's 1533-position model. The record is from RNAcentral.